RNAcentral lists this long non-coding RNA (224 nucleotides) under Callithrix jacchus (white-tufted-ear marmoset). RNAcentral describes it as "lncRNA (ENSCJAG00000075203.1)". Lineage: Eukaryota; Metazoa; Chordata; Mammalia; Primates; Cebidae. The record is from RNAcentral.
AUUUGUUUACAGGCAUUGUAAAAAAGCCCAAGAUAGCUGUGGCAAUACGCUACGUGGCUUUUCUCCUUCAUACCCAGAAAAGGACCUGAAAUUCCAACUGAUUAGGUAAUUUACUCAGGGUCAAUCAUUUAGGCUGAUAAGUGCCCAAGUUGUGAUUUGAAUGCAGCACUGUCAAGGUAAGGAAGCCUGAACUCUCAUAAACUACACUCUACCACCACAUAAAU